RNAcentral lists this ribosomal RNA (263 nucleotides) under uncultured bacterium. RNAcentral's name for it is "partial 16S ribosomal RNA". It matches the Rfam family "Bacterial small subunit ribosomal RNA", at positions 524 to 786 of the family's 1533-position model. The record is from RNAcentral.
UACGAAGGUGGCAAGCGUUGUUCGGAAUCACUGGGCUUAAAGAGCACGUAGGCGGAGAUGUAAGUGUCUUGUGAAAUCCCUCGGCUUAACCGAGGAAUUGUUGGGCAAACCACAUCUCUUGAGGCAAGUAGGGGUGUGUGGAACUCUUGGUGGAGCGGUGGAAUGCGUAGAUAUCAAGAGGAACGCCGAAGGUGAAGACAGCACACUGGGCUUGUCCUGACGCUGAGGUGCGAAAGCGUGGGGAGCAAACGGGAUUAGAUACC